Molecule: non-coding RNA, 1777 nt
Organism: Phalacrocorax carbo (great cormorant)
Lineage: Eukaryota; Metazoa; Chordata; Aves; Suliformes; Phalacrocoracidae
Source: RefSeq, a predicted model, not a curated record
CGGCGGGAGGCGCGGUGUUCCGGCGCUCGGGUGCCGGGCGGCCGUGCCGCGUACGGUAGGCGCGGUGUAUUUUUGGGGUUGGAUUCGUGUUGAUUUCUGGGGGCUUCCAGGUGCGGCCGCUCCCCGAGAAGCGAGACCGUGCUGAGGACGUGGUUGUCUGUCCUUCCCCCGGGGAUGCCGUUGACUGCAGCCGUCUCAGGCUUGCGUGGCUUCUCUCUGCCCGGUGUUGCCAUCCUCGCAGCGCGGGGGCGAAAAGGGACACACAGAGCCCUUCCCGGCUGUGGACAGGAGCUGCCUCGGCUGAAGCUGGAGACGCCAACGAAAGGUGGAGGACGGCCUAGAGUCUGGAGCUGCAGAAGAGGCAGGGCGGAGAGGAGGGGAAAGAAGCAUCUGAACGGCUAAAUUGUGCCAGCAGCGCUGAGAGCGAGAGUCGCGAGACCGUGCUGAGGACGUGGUUGUCUGUCCUUCCCCCGGGGAUGCCGUUGACUGCAGCCGUCUCAGGCUUGCGUGGCUUCUCUCUGCCCGGUGUUGCCAUCCUCGCAGCGCGGGGGCGAAAAGGGACACACAGAGCCCUUCCCGGCUGUGGACAGGAGCUGCCUCGGCUGAAGCUGGAGACGCCAACGAAAGGUGGAGGACGGCCUAGAGUCUGGAGCUGCAGAAGAGGCAGGGCGGAGAGGAGGGGAAAGAAGCAUCUGAACGGCUAAAUUGUGCCAGCAGCGCUGAGAGCGAGAGUCGCGGUGGAGGACGGCCUAGAGUCUGGAGCUGCAGAAGAGGCAGGGCGGAGAGGAGGGGAAAGAAGCAUCUGAACGGCUAAAUUGUGCCAGCAGCGCUGAGAGCGAGAGUCGCGCAGCCCGUCGCUUCAGGAGCCAGGCGACGGACGGUCCCUUCCCUGCCAAACGCGGACAAGUGCGUGCCGUGGUUUAGCCCCAGCUGGCAACUCUGCACCAGGGAGCUGCUUGCUCGCUCCACCCUCAGUGGGCUGGGGGAGAGAGCUGGAAGGGUAAAAGUGAGAAAAAUCAUGGGCUGAGAUCAAGACUGUUUAAUAGAGACCGUGCUGAGGACGUGGUUGUCUGUCCUUCCCCCGGGGAUGCCGUUGACUGCAGCCGUCUCAGGCUUGCGUGGCUUCUCUCUGCCCGGUGUUGCCAUCCUCGCAGCGCGGGGGCGAAAAGGGACACACAGAGCCCUUCCCGGCUGUGGACAGGAGCUGCCUCGGCUGAAGCUGGAGACGCCAACGAAAGGUGGAGGACGGCCUAGAGUCUGGAGCUGCAGAAGAGGCAGGGCGGAGAGGAGGGGAAAGAAGCAUCUGAACGGCUAAAUUGUGCCAGCAGCGCUGAGAGCGAGAGUCGCGUUUGACGCUUCGCUUCAGGCUUCAUGGAGCCAGGCAGCAAGACGUGCGGCGGCAGGGCGAGGGCUGUAGCUGCUGCGGCGGAUCUGUAAGCGGAGGUUCCGGUUCCGGUACAACUUUGCCCCGCAGCCUCACGGGGUUAUCUCCCCGCAGCGGUGCCGUAAGGAAGGGAUGAGACGUUUUCCAGCACCAGCCAGAGCGUUCAGUGUUACGCGAAGAAUCUGUUCAAAAUGGUAUCGGUUAGUCUUAAUACCGUUUUCAAGUGUUCCAAUCCCUCUAGCUUUUAAAGGAGGUGUUGUGUUUUGACGUGACCCGUUUGCCCAGAAUCUUGCUGCGGCUCAAUUUCCUUCCUAUCCCUUAUGUUGACUGAGCUCCUCCAUUUUCUUCUGUGCUAUUUUAUUCACGUGCUGAAAUAUAGGUUGGGAUUUCUGU